CCUGAAAUGUAAAUUGUUUUUAAUAUAUUUAAGAGCACACAGAAGUCUUGAUUUAUAAAAAAAUAAAUAUAUAACAUGACAAAUUUACUGAUGAUCCUGGAGCUCUGAGGUCAAACUCUUUAAAUGAUCAGUGAAAACAUAAAACAUCCAUGAUCUGUUAACACACACAGGAGCAUAUUCCAGUUGUAAAAAACAAAUUCCUUGAAGGCUCAGAACGAACAAAAAUCAGUCUUUAUGGCAGAAAGCACAUCCAAAGCUAGGCAAUGAAGUUCAGCCUGGGCCACGUGAACCUUUCACCAGCCAGCCUAUAACCUAUGGAGCCAGGACAGGAAAGCAUGAUCCUUCAGCUCAUGACGCCACCCAGGCUUCCAGACAACUGCAGAAUGAAAGAGUCCCUCAGAGGCUCCCCAGCCCCUGCUGCCAUCAUAAAGCACGGGAGGGAUUGUUUCCAACAAGUGAGACAGGGGCCUUGCUUCACCCAUCUCUGUAUCUUAAGAACCUAGCACAGACCUGACACUAACCAUGUAGUUGGUGAAUAUCUGCUGAAUGAACGCGCAUAAAGCAAGGAAGGACAAUUUAAUCCCAGCACUUUGGGAGGCCAAGAUGGGAGGCUGGCUUGAGCUCAGGAGUUCGAGACCAGCCUGGGCAAUAUAGCAAGACCUCGACUCUACUAAAAAAAAUAAAAUAAAUAAAAAAUUGGCUGGGCGUGGUGGUGCUUGCCUGUCGUCCCAGCUACUCCAGAGGCUGAGGCAGAAGGAUCUCUUGAGCUCGGGAGUUCGAGGCUGCAGUGAGCAGUGAUUGCACCACUGCACUCCAGCCUAGGCGACAGAGAGAGAGACCCUGUGUCCAAAAAAAAAAAAAAAAAAAAACCCCAAAAUUAUAGCUAAUAUCGAAUGCUUUUUAAAGCAGGCACUAUGCUAGAGAGAUUACAUGAAUGAUGUCAUUUAAUCUUCAGGCCAAGUUUGCUCUACUUUACCCCUCCCGGCCCCAACACUCCACAGAAAGUAGUGAGCUACAUGGUAGAGGGCCUGCUUUUAUGUGGUGGUUAUACAUAACUCUGAGAUUACGGCAAGAAAGUCAAAUCGAACUGAGACAGGGACUAAAGUUAGUGUUUACAGUAUCAAUACUAUAAAGAAAAUAAUUACAUUCCCAAGGAAAAGUACAAAGAAAGGAGGUAGUGUCAUUUGGAAGAACCUUAAAUAUGCAGUGUCACUGAAGUCAGGGGAAGAAAAGAAUUUCACGGAGAAGGGCGUGUUCAAUGCGUGGAAGGCUGCAGAGUAGAUAAUGAAGAUUCAAAAAGGCAAAUCUGAGAGGAGUUGCAGUACAGUCGUGUGGUUUCUAGACUACACGGCGUUUCGAAAGUGGGUAAAGGCAGACAUCACGCGUCUUCAAGAAGUUCAGAAGAAAGAGGAAGAGUGUUGUCAUAGUGGGUAAGGUCAAGUAUCUUUGAUUGCAAAACAACAGUCGCCAGAAGAGAAGGGGCUAAAAGUUGGAACGAGGAAGAAGGCUCGGAGAAAGGUGUCAGACAAAGCGGGAUUAGCAAGAAGCUGUUAGGGCUGGUCCUACCGGGAUGAGAGAAAGGCGCAGAGGCCAGCCGAGUGGAAAGAGCAGCGGUGACGAACCGGGUUCCACUCAGACGUCCGACACUUCUCGCCAAGGGGCCAGCGCGGACAGCAGCGCCUCCCGGGGACCUCUGAGAAGCCCUGUUUCUGCGCGGCUCCGCCCGACCUCCAAGGCCGACCUCGGAGGCUCAGAGACCCAGGCCCCGUUGGCACUCACCCCACUGCCACGCGGCGCCAGCGCCGGACUGGCCGCACGAUAAGCGCGUCCCAGGCUGCCGCCAACCGGCCCUCGGGGGAGACGGGUCCCGGGGGCGCAGGCGCGGGCCCCAGACACAGCGAGCUCCAGAGAGAGCGCAGCGCCGAGCCUGGCAGCUCUGGCUCCAGCAGGAAGACGCAGCCCACGGCCAGCGCCAGGAAGCCCGCGUACGCGGAGCCGCGCCACAGCGCCAUGGGGACCCAGGCGCCGCACCUGCGCGAACCAACUCCUUUCCUAGCCCGCGCCUCUUCCGGGCUCGGCGCGCGCCGAUGUCGACACAAGCGCUACGUCACAAGGGUGCGCCACGGGGCCCCCCAAGGGGCGGGGCGACGGGCGGCGCCAGGACGGAGCGAGGGGGGACCCCACGCCUCAGUCCCAGGCCUGGCACUGCGGUGUUGCCGCCCCGGAGGAGGUGGGACAACGGCGGUUGUGCCAGUCCGGGCGCUGCACCCCCUUCCCGGAACUCUAAUCGUAUCCCCAAAUAGAGGGAUGGGAACACAUUUGCUUUCGCAGUAAAACGAAACGGACAGAUUGUGAAGAAGCGGACAAACCUCGCGUUAAUAUUCGAACCAGUGGGUGUCCCCAUUGGCACGGAUCACACCCCCAUCUUUUAAUCCCUCCCUCCGCCCGUGUCCCCUCAUUUGCUAGACUUGUCCUCUUCCAGGCCUAGUGCUCGGCGCUUCUGAGAGGAAUAGGCUCACAGAAUAGCGGCGCUGCCGAGACCCCUGGGGUACGCGAGGCAGGGGGAUUCCGCCCCUUUGGAAGGUGGCCGAGACCCUCAGCCACUAAAGGACUUCGUCGAGACAGGAGAGCCCGCAGAGAUCGUUCU
RNAcentral lists this long non-coding RNA (2647 nucleotides) under Homo sapiens (human). Its description in RNAcentral is "long non-coding RNA NONHSAT171003.1". The record is from RNAcentral. Lineage: Eukaryota; Metazoa; Chordata; Mammalia; Primates; Hominidae.